This 497-nucleotide ribosomal RNA is filed under the name uncultured bacterium. RNAcentral describes it as "partial 16S ribosomal RNA". It matches the Rfam family "Bacterial small subunit ribosomal RNA", at positions 28 to 507 of the family's 1533-position model. The record is from RNAcentral.
GAUGAACGCUGGCGGCGUGCCUAAUACAUGCAAGUCGAGCGAACAGACGAGGAGCUUGCUCCUCUGACGUUAGCGGCGGACGGGUGAGUAACACGUGGAUAACCUACCUAUAAGACUGGGAUAACUUCGGGAAACCGGAGCUAAUACCGGAGAAUAUAUUGAACCGCAUGGUUCAAUAGUGAAAGACGGUUUUGCUGUCUCUUAUAGAUGGAUCCGCGCCGCAUUAGCUAGUUGGUAAGGUAACGGCUUACCAAGGCGACGAUGCGUAGCCGACCUGAGAGGGUGAUCGGCCACACUGGAACUGAGACACGGUCCAGACUCCUACGGGAGGCAGCAGUAGGGAAUAUUCCGCAAUGGGCGAAAGCCUGACGGAGCAACGCCGCGUGAGUGAUGAAGGUCUUCGGAUCGUAAAACUCUGUUAUUAGGGAAGAACAAAUGUGUAAGUAAAUAUGCACGUCUUGACGGUACCUAAUCAGAAAGCAACGGCUAACUACGUG